RNAcentral lists this ribosomal RNA (256 nucleotides) under uncultured Gardnerella sp. Its description in RNAcentral is "partial 16S ribosomal RNA". It matches the Rfam family "Bacterial small subunit ribosomal RNA", at positions 99 to 354 of the family's 1533-position model. The record is from RNAcentral. Lineage: Bacteria; Bacillati; Actinomycetota; Actinomycetes; Bifidobacteriales; Bifidobacteriaceae.
CGAACGGGUGAGUAAUGCGUGACCAACCUGCCCCAUGCUCCAGAAUAGCUCUUGGAAACGGGUGGUAAUGCUGGAUGCUCCAACUUGACGCAUGUCUUGUUGGGAAAGUGUUUAGUGGCAUGGGAUGGGGUCGCGUCCUAUCAGCUUGUAGGCGGGGUAAUGGCCCACCUAGGCUUCGACGGGUAGCCGGCCUGAGAGGGCGGACGGCCACAUUGGGACUGAGAUACGGCCCAGACUCCUACGGGAGGCAGCAGAU